GACCAACUUCAUACUGACGGUAGUGGGCGUGACCGCUGCCGUCCUCCUCCUCCGCAGCGACGUGAAACAGUCCGCCGCUAUCUUCCGCCGAAACGUGCGCCACAUCCGCCAGUGGCUCGAAGAAGAGUCCACCUCGGCUUCCAAGUAAGAAAAUGUGCAACUUUAAAACCGUUUGAUUCUUCGAGUAAAGUAUAUGACACGAUUCUUUGUGCAUAUGAUCAGCUUAUUGUUCCUUUGUUUGAUUAUUGACCAUUUGAGCUUGUGUGGAUCGUUCAUGUAUCUUACUACUCUGAGAUAGGCUUUCACACUAGCACAAUGUGUUCCUUAAAGUUUUAAGUAUUUAUUUAGCCUUUUCAAGCAUUUCAUAUAUAUCACAUUAAGUUGAUUAUAAACAUCUGCAAAUGGCGAUUUAAAAUCUUGAUUUUUUUUCCCCCAAAAAAUGAUAUCACCCAAGUGCGCGAGUAUAUUUUUUUCAAACAUGCAUUUUAUAACCUAAGAAAGCAUCGAUCUUUCAAAAUCUAUGGACCUAUUGCUUAUUGUUAAUGCCCUUUUAGAUUGCGUCUGCGACCCCAUUUUCUUAAGGAAUAAUGUUUCUGGACUUUAAACUGUGAAUAGUUGAUUAACCUAGAGCUUCUAGUUCAGUUACUUAAGUUUAUAUGUGAAAUUUUCUAGGGUUUUGUGUGCAUGUAAUGAGUUUGGUAGUUUGUAAAUUAGCCUAUUUAGGAUAAAAUUAAAGAUUGCAGGUGGAUGUUUGUUCCAAGUUGAUAUCUGAUUUUGUUUUGUGUGGCCCAGUAACAUUUUUUAGAUAUUACAUCGAGAAUGUAUAAGCUGUUCGAUUGAUAAUUAUAAUAAUAGGCAACCAGGUGCAUCCAUUCAUGAAUCAAAUUAAUAGGAGAGAUCAUAUAGCAAAUUGGAGAUCUGAAUAUGCAACUGUUUGCUUAGUUGAAGAUAUUCAAAAAUGUAAAACCAAGUAGAAUCCUCCAAUGAAACUAUUAAAUAUAAAAUAAAUUUGAAAAAAAAAUCAUCUAAUAAAACAUAAUAAACAAUAACCAAAAUUACCAUAUAUGGAAUACAUGAAUCCCACUUAGCAUAACAAUUGACAAGGAGUGAAGCUUCUGAGUAGCUAGUUGUUAUACUUCCCAAGAACUAAAUAAUUCCACACUGAAUUUUGUUAUCUUCAAAAUUUGAUGACUCUUGUGCGUGUAGUAUCAACCAUGUUUUUUCCUUACCAAAAGUGCUUCCUUUUCUGGACAGUUGAAAGGAUGCGAACUAUCAUUGAUCCAACAAUUCUAUAACAAUCAUAUCCAAAGUAGAAAGUAAGAAAAGCCAAAGUGUAAUACACAUAUUGGAAAAAAGCUGAUUUUCUUGCUGGUAUCAUAUGGAGUAAACACAUUCAUGAGCUUUAUUAGUUAUUACUACCAAUUAAUCUCAUGAGAGACAAUCUACAUCAUCAUGAAAUAUCUGAACCAAUUCCUCAAUUGCAUUUAGAGAUAAGAUAGACUUGUUGGAAAUCCAUAGGUGGUUGGUGGGGAAAGAUAGUUCUGUACUUGUGAUGAGUACAUUUUGUUGGUGUUGGAAGCACCAGCUAAUCAAAUUUAUGUUUUGAUAUUGUCAAAGGUUGAAAGUUAAACUGUGUUGUUGUUCUAAUGAGUCUAACUGAGUGUGCAGGAAAGUUCUAAGUGAUCUUAGACAAGCUAAAAGUACUAGUUGACGCUAGGCAAAGAAGUCUUAGUGGAUACUAGGUAGGUGGAAAGUCCUAGUUGUGAUUAGGCAAUGAAGUCUUGGUCUGGGGGACUAGACAAAGUCUUGGCAGGUCAAAGAUCUCGGGCAAAAUCCUAGGGUCGCGGACACUAGGUAAAAGUCCUGGGGUUGCAGACACUAGGCGGAAGACUAGAUGGGUCAGAGAUCGGACGUCUCGGAUGCUGAGCAAAAGUCUAAACGGUUUGGAGGACCGGUUUGACAAAAGGUAAACUCUCUUGAGAGGAAUAGGUGAUGACGCAUUCCCCGUAGAGGGAACAGUAGGGCGUCGGUUCGACGAGAGUUUCGAGAGAAAUCCGAAAGUCAAAACCAGAUAGUCCGAAGAUUGCCAAAUAUUUUUAUUUCGAUAUUAUUUGUUGUGCUAACUUUGUUUUGCAGGGUAUCUUCGGUAUUUGGAUUAACAUGCCUUGCAGGAAGUGAAAUGCACAAAAGAACACUCGGAUGAAUAGUGCUCGAGGCGUCUCCUGUGCUGCUGGAGGUGGCUCGGCUGCCUUGGCCGAAGCAUCGUACGGAUGGGCGCAGAGGCGCCUUGUAGUGCCUGGAAGGUGUCUUGGAGGUUGGCGUGGAGGCAUCUUCGAAAGGAUAAAAUUUGCAGAAUGCGGUGAUUAUCGCAACCGAAGCUUAGGGAAUAAAAUCUACACUUGGAGGUGCCUUCAACAGCUUAUAAAAGAAGUCUUUGAGCAGCUCUCUCAACAGAACUUCAAUUAACGAUUUCUCUCUUGUGCAUUGCUCCAAAGACGACGCUACGACUUUGCAACGCGACUCCGACGACCAAAAGCCCGGAACUUCUAAUCCUUAGUUGUAGUGUGAAGAAAUCACGAGCACUAUCCCCCAGCGCAUCGAUCCUACACAUUUAUGGGGAAAGAAAGAAUUGUGUCAACCAGAGCCAUUUUUCUCAAUCACAUUUAGAGAUAGAAAAAGACAUUAAAAUCAAAUGGUGGCCAGCGGAGAAAGAUACUUCUGUUGUUGUAUGCAAAUAUCUCUAUUUUAGUAUCUGUGGAACGAUCAGCACCGAAGGACUUGGAUUCUCAGGCAGUGAAGAAAGACAUUCCCAAAGAUGAGAAGCAUUAGAACAGGAGUCUCAAAUGGAUGUGAAUUACACUGUUAUUUUCUUGUAGGAAUGCUUGUAUUUUUGUUCCUCGAAUAAGAGCUAUCUAGGAAUUUUGUAAGUGAUUUUGUUGCAAAGAUUAACUAGUGGUGAGACAUUUCUAAUAAAGAUCAAACAUUUUGUUA
RNA transcript from Zingiber officinale, 2991 nucleotides. RefSeq lists it as uncharacterized. The record is from RefSeq and is a predicted model, not a curated record. The transcript has 3 exons. NCBI's taxonomy places the organism in Eukaryota, Viridiplantae, Streptophyta, Magnoliopsida, Zingiberales, Zingiberaceae.